This is a long non-coding RNA of Ceratitis capitata (Mediterranean fruit fly), 1415 nucleotides long. RefSeq lists it as uncharacterized. The record is from RefSeq and is a predicted model, not a curated record. Lineage: Eukaryota; Metazoa; Arthropoda; Insecta; Diptera; Tephritidae. The transcript has 4 exons.
UUGCGUUUAUAGUGCGUUGGUAUCCAAAGUCGUCGUUGUUGUCGUAGCUACUAGUCGUUCGCCCCUGUGUAUAGUGUUUAUUUCGCAUUGUGGCUGUAGUGCUUGGCCCACAUAGCGACGUGUUCUCAUUACGUAUAAUUUAGUGGCUUUAUUGUCGCAUAAAUGAUUUUUUCCGCUUAAUAACGUGAUUAAUUGAUCGUAUCCAGGAAACAAUUGAGGUGCGGCUUAGUGAUUUGUUUCCUAAGGUGUGAAACCAAUACUCGUUGGCUGCAGCCAAUUUUGAUAAGUGUGGGAAAUGUUGUACUAAGCUAAGCGCUGCAAUUAGCUUGUGGUAGCUUUUGCUAAGCCGGCAGCGCAUGAGCGUUUAGUGAAGCUUGCAUUUUUGGUCAUAAUAAUUAAGCGUUUACUGAAUUUUAAUAAUUCAGUUUCGGCAGGAAGGAUGGAAUAAAUUGCAUGCGGUCUUUUAAAGCGUGUGUAGUCGGGUUUUGUACCAUAACGGCAUACUCGGUGCGUUUGUCGCUUGAAUCAAAUGUGUUGACAAUUAAAACAUUUGUUGGAGUUUUUUUGCAGCAUUUAAAUGCUACGUAAAGUUGUGUACAUUUUGUAUUGGAAAAAUUGAUUAUUGUGCGCGUUAUUGUUGGAGAUUUAAAAAGUCAAGUGAUUUUCAAAAAUAACAAAACCACAAAAUCCUGCAUUAGAGUUUCAAUUAUAAUAUACCUAUUUAUGGUGGCAUAAUUACAUAUAUAUAAACAAACAUUUUUGUGCUCAUACAUAUUACAGUUUAGUGUGUAGUGACAGUGCUUAUGGUGAAGGUGGCUCGUAAAAUGUUUGAUGUACUCGUUGCUCAUUGCAACACCUGACUGGCAUACCAACACGUAUUAAACGCCUUCACAACCACUGCGUCCACUAUACUUAUGUACAUACAUCCAUGUCACACAAGUGAAACGCGUGCAACGUGUUGUCGUUUAGACUGUUGUUGUUGUUGUCGCUGCUGCUUCUUUCUUCUAGAGGACACUCGAGUCGCGCAGCAUUAAGACUGCUUGUGUUUCUCCUGUCUGUCUUGUGUCCUCUAAGCUAUAUGCCCUCUGUGCUUGUCGUAAAAUAUCACCGUUGAACGUGCGCGGAUUAAAAAGCCACAAGCAAGUGUGUUAGUGCCGCGUCCUUUCCCACAGCGUGCCGUUUGUUAGCUAUACAGCGCCAGUGUAGUGAACUGCUGACUCUACUUCUUUUCGGACCUCAGCUAUAUUCUGCUAUUGAAACAGCGAACUCAUCAAAGUGCGAACUAUUAAUUCUGAUAUUACAUCUGAAAUAACUGUGACAAUAAUAAUAGCAAAGUUCAAGCAAAUAUAACAUCAAGUGAUUGGGUGAAGAAAAGGAUCGUCCGAAAAAGGGUUCAUUACGUGUGGCUAAUUGAU